This 94-nucleotide ribosomal RNA is filed under the name Corynebacterium diphtheriae. The record is from RNAcentral. RNAcentral also lists the same sequence under 1 other name. Lineage: Bacteria; Bacillati; Actinomycetota; Actinomycetes; Mycobacteriales; Corynebacteriaceae.
UACGCCCGGUCCCUUUCCGAACCCGGAAGCUAAGCCCGAUUGCGCUGAUGGUACUGCACCUGGGAGGGUGUGGGAGAGUAGGUCGCCGCCAACC